This is a non-coding RNA of Podarcis lilfordi (Lilford's wall lizard), 108 nucleotides long. The record is from the annotation of a GenBank genome assembly. NCBI's taxonomy places the organism in Eukaryota, Metazoa, Chordata, Lepidosauria, Squamata, Lacertidae.
UGUCCAGUAGCACCUUAGAGACCAACUAAGUUUGUUCUUGAUAUAAGCACACACACGAAAGCUUAUACCAAGAACAAACUUAGUUGGUCUCUAAGGUGCUACUGGACA